RNAcentral lists this ribosomal RNA (773 nucleotides) under uncultured Neocallimastigales. Its description in RNAcentral is "partial large subunit ribosomal RNA". It matches the Rfam family "Eukaryotic large subunit ribosomal RNA", at positions 24 to 649 of the family's 3401-position model. Lineage: Eukaryota; Fungi; Neocallimastigomycota; Neocallimastigomycetes; Neocallimastigales. The record is from RNAcentral.
UAUGUGAUCGUCUCUCGCAUAUCAAUAAGCGGAGGAAAAGAAACUAACAAGGAUUCCCCUAGUAACGGCGAGUGAAGCGGGAAGAGCUCAAAUUUGAAAUCUUAAAGGGUUUCCCUUUACGAAUUGUAGUUUAAAGAAGUGUUUUCUGUUGAGGUUUGGUAAAAGUUCUUUGGAAUAGGACAUCAUAGAGGGUGAGAAUCCCGUAUUUGACCUUUACUUUCAACUUUGUGAUACACUUUCAAAGAGUCGGAUUGUUUGGGAAUGCAGUCCAAAAUGGGUGGUAAAUUUCAUCUAAAGCUAAAUAUUGGCGAGAGACCGAUAGCGAACAAGUACCGUGAGGGAAAGAUGAAAAGAACUUUGAAAAGAGAGUUAAACAGUACGUGAAAUUGUCAAAAGGGAAGCGUUUGACACCAGUGUUGUUUUUCUGAAAAUCAAUUAAAGAACUGUUUAUGCUAAGUUGUUUAGACUUUAUCAGCUAACUGUUUAGUUUUGAGCUUUUCUUUAAUGCACUUUUCAGUUAACAAGUCAACAUCAAUUUCUUUUGCUGUAAAAAAGCUUGAGGAAGGUGGCUUGAGAUUCGUCUUAAGUGUUUAUAGCCUCUUGCCUAUGCAGUCGGAGAGAUUGAGGUCUGCAGCGUAGAUCCUUCGGGGCUAAAUGCAUUUGUGCUAAGUUAUAGCAUUUUAUAGACAACUUGUUGACUAUGAUUUGUCUUGUAGCUUACUCGCUUAUGUUAUUUUACCUACGCUUAGGAUGUUGAGUAGCGACAUACGCAC